RNAcentral lists this ribosomal RNA (492 nucleotides) under uncultured bacterium. Its description in RNAcentral is "partial 16S ribosomal RNA". It matches the Rfam family "Bacterial small subunit ribosomal RNA", at positions 29 to 507 of the family's 1533-position model. The record is from RNAcentral.
AGUGAACGCUGGCGGUAGGCCUAACACAUGCAAGUCGAACGGCAGCACAGUAAGAUCUUGCUCUUACGGGUGGCGAGUGGCGGACGGGUGAGGCAUACAUCGGAAUCUACUUUUUCGUGGGGAAUAACGUAGGGACACUUACGCUAAUACCGCAUACGACCUACGGGUGAGAGCAGGGGAUCUUCGGACCUUUCGCGAUUGAAUGAGCCGAUGUCGGAUUAGCUAGUUGGCUGGGUAAAGGCCCACCAAGGCGACGAUCCGUAGCUGGUCUGAGAGGAUGAUCAGCCACACUGGAACUGAGACACGGUCCAGACUCCUACGGGAGGCAGCAGUAGGGAAUAUUGGACAAUGGGCGAAAGCCUGAUCCAGCCACACCGCGUGGGUGAAGAAGGCCUUCGGGUUGUAAAGCCCUUUUGUUGGGAAAGAAAAGCAGCAGGUUAAUACACCGAUGUUCUGACGGUACCUAAAGAAUAAGCACCGGCUAACUUCGUG